RNAcentral lists this ribosomal RNA (497 nucleotides) under uncultured bacterium. RNAcentral's name for it is "partial 16S ribosomal RNA". It matches the Rfam family "Bacterial small subunit ribosomal RNA", at positions 28 to 507 of the family's 1533-position model. The record is from RNAcentral.
GAUGAACGCUGGCGGCGUGCCUAAUACAUGCAAGUCGAGCGAACAGACGAGGAGCUUGCUCCCCUGACGUUAGCGGCGGACGGGUGAGUAACACGUGGAUAACCUACCUAUAAGACUGGGAUAACUUCGGGAAACCGGAGCUAAUACCGGAUAAUAUAUUGAACCGCAUGGUUCAAUAGUGAAAGACGGUUUUGCUGUCACUUAUAGAUGGAUCCGCGCCGCAUUAGCUAGUUGGUAAGUUAACGGCUUACCAAGGCAACGAUGCGUAGCCGACCUGAGAGGGUGAUCGGCCACACUGGAACUGAGACACGGUCCAGACUCCUACGGGAGGCAGCAGUAGGGAAUCUUCCGCAAUGGGCGAAAGCCUGACGGAGCAACGCCGCGUGAGUGAUGAAGGUCUUCGGAUCGUAAAACUCUGUUAUUAGGGAAGAACAAAUGUGUAAGUAACUAUGCACGUCUUGACGGUACCUAAUCAGAAAGCCACGGCUAACUACGUG